GAAGGGUUUGUCACGAAAGAUUGCAGAGUGUGGCUAUAGAUAAUUUAAAUCAGUGUGUGGAAAAUCUAUCAAUUUGAGCGAGCUGUUGAUAAAUCUCCAAUCAAAAACCAAUACUUUGUGAUUUGCUCCUUGGAAAAUACCAGCAAAAAAAAAGGACAUUCGACGCUUCAUGUAAACAACAACAAACGAAUUAGAGGCCCAAAACCGUAUCCUGAGAAGAGUCAAAUUAGUAACUAAAAAGGGAAAAGUUAGGAUCUUCUAAGCAACAUCAACAAGUCAUCAAUAUCGUCUAACGGACCACGGCCACGAUCUAUCAUCAAGGCAAAGGUCUGGAUCUCGCAACGUGUGACCAGCAGACAGACUGUUUAAGAAAUUAUAAAAAGGUAAUUAUUUUUAAGGCAUCGUUAACAUCAUGGUUUCCUUUGUUUGAGUUGCAUUCAGAAAGCAAAAAUCAUUUAAAAAAAAAACCUUCCUCAAAGUGAGGAAAAAGUGAGUCCACCCUUAGGUGGUAAUUGCCUUCCUCACAUUUGCUCUGGAAAAAAUCUUUUUUAAUUUAUUUAUUUUUAUAUAACCAAAGCUUAUAUAGAGUUAGAACUCUAAAGUAACUCUAAAGAAUUGUACCCGAAAGUAACAUUUGAGAUGGGCGUAAGUAAUUUAAAUAUUUGUGAAUUCUGUAAUUUAAAUAUGGCUGUAUCUCGAAGCCGUUGCAUCCUCUCAAAUUAGUCAUGGAUAAACUUGUAGGAAAUUGAACGGGCUUUCUGAAAAAAAUACACUGAAAGAAAAAU
Long non-coding RNA from Culex quinquefasciatus (southern house mosquito), 785 nucleotides. RefSeq lists it as uncharacterized. The record is from RefSeq and is a predicted model, not a curated record. The transcript is spliced from 3 exons. Lineage: Eukaryota; Metazoa; Arthropoda; Insecta; Diptera; Culicidae.